Molecule: long non-coding RNA, 334 nt
Filed under: Homo sapiens (human)
Lineage: Eukaryota; Metazoa; Chordata; Mammalia; Primates; Hominidae
Description: HSALNT0278656
Source: RNAcentral
UCCCCAUAUCCACCCCCUUUGCAGGGCCCUCCCUCUGUGACCCUGGCCUUGGCCACCAGGCUUGCUUUGGCCAAUGAGAUGUGAGCAUACAGGACGCCAGUCAAAGCAUGAAAACUGCUUGCAAUAGCGCUUGUGUGUGCACCUGGACCUAUGUUGUAAGAAUGUGCCCCGUUUGGCCAUUGGAAGGACUUGGGACACCUGGGGGAGAACAGAGUCACCCCAGCUGCCAGCCAGCUCAGCCAGGACAGAUGCCAAGUUUACAAAACAUACAAGUGCACAGACAGGUGUGGGAGGUAGCUCGAAAUAUACAGAGUGUUCGCAACACUAGAGACGU